UUGGAGGGCAAGUCUGGYGCCAGCAGCCGCGGUAAUUCCAGCUCCAAUAGCGUAUAUUAAAGUUGUUGCAGUUAAAAAGCUCGUAGUUGAAUUUCGGGAUUGGCGCAUCGGUCGUGCCUCACGGGGUAUGAACUGGUGCAGUCAAUUUCUCACCUUCUGGAGAACCGCGAUGUCCUUAAUUGGAUGCCGCGGGGAACCAGGACCUUUACUUUGAAAAAAUUAGAGUGUUUAAAGCAGGCAUUUUUGCUUGAAUACAUUAGCAUGGAAUAAUAAAAUAGGACGGCAUGGUUCUAUUUUGUUGGUUUCUAGGACCACCGUAAUGAUUAAUAGGGAUAGUUGGGGGCAUUAGUAUUCAAUUGUCAGAGGUGAAAUUCUUGGAUUUAUUGAAGACUAACUACUGCGAAAGCAUUUGCCAAGGAUGUUUUCAUUAAUCAAGAACGAAAGUUAGGGGAUCGAAGACGAUCAGAUACCGUCGUAGUCUUAACCAUAAACUAUGCCGACUAGGGAUCGGACGAAGUUAAUUUUAUAAUGACGCGUUCGGCGCCUUACGGGAAACCAAAG
This 561-nucleotide ribosomal RNA is filed under the name uncultured Glomus. RNAcentral describes it as "SSU rRNA". It matches the Rfam family "Eukaryotic small subunit ribosomal RNA", at positions 550 to 1114 of the family's 1831-position model. The record is from RNAcentral. Lineage: Eukaryota; Fungi; Glomeromycota; Glomeromycetes; Glomerales; Glomeraceae.